This 468-nucleotide ribosomal RNA is filed under the name uncultured bacterium. RNAcentral's name for it is "partial 16S ribosomal RNA". It matches the Rfam family "Bacterial small subunit ribosomal RNA", at positions 28 to 507 of the family's 1533-position model. The record is from RNAcentral.
GACGAACGCUGGCGGCGUGCUUAACACAUGCAAGUCGAACGGACAGGCCCUGCUUUUGCGGGGUGCUCGAGUGGCGAACGGGUGAGUAACACGUGAGUAACCUGCCCUUGACUUUGGGAUAACUUCAGGAAACUGGGGCUAAUAUCGGAUAGGAGAUCCUGCUGCAUGGUGGGGGUUGGAAAGUUUCGGCGGUUGUGGAUGGACUCGCGGCUUAUCAGCUUGUUGGUGAAGUAGUGGAUUACCAAGGCUUUGACGGGUAGCCGGCCUGAGAGGGUGACCGGCGACAUUGGUACUGAGAGACGGACCAGACGCCUACGGUAGGCAGCAGUGGAGAAUAUUGCACAAUGGGCGGAAGCCUGAUGCAGCAACGCCGCGUGCGGAAUGACGGCUUACGGGUUGUAAACCACUUUCGCCUGUGACGAAGCGUGAGUGACGGUAAUGGGUAAAGAAGCACCGGCUAACUACGUG